UACGUAGGGGGCAAGCGUUAUCCGGAAUUACUGGGUGUAAAGGGAGCGUAGACGGUAAUGUAAGUCUGGAGUGAAAGGCGGGGGCCCAACCCCCGGACUGCUUUGGAAACUAUGUUACUAGAGUGCGGGAGAGGUAAGCGGAAUUCCUAGUGUAGCGGUGAAAUGCGUAGAUAUUAGGAGGAACACCAGUGGCGAAGGCGGCUUACUGGACUGUAACUGACGCUGAGGUUCGAAAGCGUGGGUAGCAAACAGG
Molecule: ribosomal RNA, 253 nt
Filed under: uncultured bacterium
Lineage: Bacteria
Description: partial 16S ribosomal RNA
Rfam family: Bacterial small subunit ribosomal RNA
Source: RNAcentral